This 460-nucleotide ribosomal RNA is filed under the name uncultured bacterium. Its description in RNAcentral is "partial 16S ribosomal RNA". It matches the Rfam family "Bacterial small subunit ribosomal RNA", at positions 338 to 795 of the family's 1533-position model. The record is from RNAcentral.
CCUACGGGAGGCAGCAGUGAGGAAUAUUGGUCAAUGGACGAGAGUCUGAACCAGCCAAGUAGCGUGAAGGAUGACUGCCCUAUGGGUUGUAAACUUCUUUUAUAUGGGAAUAAAAUGUUCCACGUGUGGGAUUUUGUAUGUACCAUAUGAAUAAGGAUCGGCUAACUACGUGCCAGCAGCCGCGGUAAUACGGAGGAUCCGAGCGGUAUCCGGAUUUAAUGGGUUUAAAGGGAGCGUAGGUGGAUUGUUAAGUCAGUUGUGAAAGUUGGCGGCUCAACCGUAAAAUUGCAGUUGAAACUGGCAGUCUUGAGUACAGUAGAGGUGUGAGGAAUGCGUGGUGUAGCGGUGAAAUGCUUAGAUAUCACGAAGAACUCCGAGUGCGAAGGCAGCUCACUGGACUGCAACUGACACUGAGGCUCGAAAGUGUGGGUAUCAAACAGGAUUAGAUACCCGGGUAGUC